AUAUCAGUCAUGCAUAGCAUAUCAAUAAGCGGAGGAAAAGAAACUAACAAGGAUUCCCUUAGUAACGGCGAGUGGAGCGGGAAGAGCUCAAAUUUGAAAUCUUCAAGGUUUUACCUUGACGAAUUGUAGUUUAAAGAAGUGUUUUCUGUUGAAGUUUUGGUAAAAGUUCUUUGGAAUAGGACAUCAUAGAGGGUGAGAAUCCCGUAUUUGACCAUUACUUUCAGCUUUGUGAUACACUUUCAAAGAGUCGGAUUGUUUGGGAAUGCAGUCCAAAAUGGGUGGUAAAUUUCAUCUAAAGCUAAAUAUUGGCGAGAGACCGAUAGCGAACAAGUACCGUGAGGGAAAGAUGAAAAGAACUUUGAAAAGAGAGUUAAACAGUACGUGAAAUUGUCAAAAGGGAAGCGUUUGACACCAGUGUUGUUUUCUCGAAAAUCAAUUAAAAAGAGUUGGAUUUUGUGUUGUAUUGACAUUAUCGGCUUUCUUCACUCUUUUCCAGCUUUUUUUAAUGCACUUUUCGUUUAACAAGUCAACAUCAGUUUCUUUUGUUGUACAAAGGUCAUUGGAAGGUGGCUUUCUCUUCGGAGAAAGUGUUUAUAGCCUUUGACUCAUGCAAUCGGAGAGACUGAGGUCUGCAGCGUAGAUCCUUCGGGGUUAGAUACAUUUGUGCUAAGUUAUAGCUUUUCAUAGACAACUUGUUGACUAUGUUUAGUCUUGUAGCUUACUCGCUUAUGCUAUUUUACCUACGCUUAGGAUGUUGAACUCUAUCACACACAG
RNAcentral lists this ribosomal RNA (774 nucleotides) under uncultured Neocallimastigales. Its description in RNAcentral is "partial large subunit ribosomal RNA". It matches the Rfam family "Eukaryotic large subunit ribosomal RNA", at positions 22 to 621 of the family's 3401-position model. The record is from RNAcentral. Lineage: Eukaryota; Fungi; Neocallimastigomycota; Neocallimastigomycetes; Neocallimastigales.